Molecule: transfer-messenger RNA, 356 nt
Filed under: bovine gut metagenome
Rfam family: transfer-messenger RNA
About the family: Bacterial tmRNA, also known as 10Sa RNA or SsrA, is named for its dual tRNA and mRNA-like properties.
Source: RNAcentral
GGGGGUGUUUCAGAUUCGAUUGGGCGACUUCUUUUUAUUGUAAGCAUACCGAAGGCUCGGCUUCGUAAAAACGGAAACAACAAUAACUGCUAAUAACAAUAACGAAUUAGCUUACGCUGCUUAACUCAAGCGUACGUCGUACGUAAUCUUCUCCGUCGGGGUUACGCACGGCGCAAGCACAGACGGACAACGGUUGCGUUAUUCGAUUCGCGGUAACGUAACGGAACUAAAGCGGAUAUGAAAAUUGUAUAGGUUGCCGAUAACCGUACUCUUUUCGAGAACAAUAUUCGGAUAAGUAUGUAGAAGAAUAAACGGACCCGUUCAAGACCAGAGUGCAAGUCUCUGCAUCUCCACCA